Molecule: ribosomal RNA, 1026 nt
Filed under: human gut metagenome
Description: bacterial SSU rRNA
Rfam family: Bacterial small subunit ribosomal RNA
Source: RNAcentral
AGGGUUCGAUUCUGGCUCAGGAUGAACGCUGGCGGCGUGCUUAACACAUGCAAGUCGAACGGGAUCCAUCAGGCUUUGCUUGGUGGUGAGAGUGGCGAACGGGUGAGUAAUGCGUGACCGACCUGCCCCAUACACCGGAAUAGCUCCUGGAAACGGGUGGUAAUGCCGGAUGCUCCAGUUGAUCGCAUGGUCUUCUGGGAAAGCUUUCGCGGUAUGGGAUGGGGUCGCGUCCUAUCAGCUUGACGGCGGGGUAACGGCCCACCGUGGCUUCGACGGGUAGCCGGCCUGAGAGGGCGACCGGCCACAUUGGGACUGAGAUACGGCCCAGACUCCUACGGGAGGCAGCAGUGGGGAAUAUUGCACAAUGGGCGCAAGCCUGAUGCAGCGACGCCGCGUGAGGGAUGGAGGCCUUCGGGUUGUAAACCUCUUUUAUCGGGGAGCAAGCGAGAGUGAGUUUACCCGUUGAAUAAGCACCGGCUAACUACGUGCCAGCAGCCGCGGUAAUACGUAGGGUGCAAGCGUUAUCCGGAAUUAUUGGGCGUAAAGGGCUCGUAGGCGGUUCGUCGCGUCCGGUGUGAAAGUCCAUCGCUUAACGGUGGAUCCGCGCCGGGUACGGGCGGGCUUGAGUGCGGUAGGGGAGACUGGAAUUCCCGGUGUAACGGUGGAAUGUGUAGAUAUCGGGAAGAACACCAAUGGCGAAGGCAGGUCUCUGGGCCGUUACUGACGCUGAGGAGCGAAAGCGUGGGGAGCGAACAGGAUUAGAUACCCUGGUAGUCCACGCCGUAAACGAUGAGUGCUAGGUGUUGGGUCCUUUCCGGGACUCAGUGCCGCAGCUAACGCAUUAAGCACUCCGCCUGGGGAGUACGACCGCAAGGUUGAAACUCAAAGGAAUUGACGGGGGCCCGCACAAGCAGUGGAGUAUGUGGUUUAAUUCGACGCAACGCGAAGAACCUUACCAAGUCUUGACAUCCCUUGACAGGCAUAGAAAUAUGUUUUCUCUUCGGAGCAAGGAGACAGGUGGUGCAU